Molecule: ribosomal RNA, 690 nt
Filed under: uncultured bacterium
Lineage: Bacteria
Description: bacterial SSU rRNA
Rfam family: Bacterial small subunit ribosomal RNA
Source: RNAcentral
AACGCUAGCUACAGGCUUAACACAUGCAAGUCGAGGGGCAGCGCAGUGUAGCAAUACAUGGGCGGCGACCGGCGCACGGGUGCGUAACGCGUAUCCAACCUUCCCGUUACUCUUGGAUAGCCUUCCGAAAGGGAGAUUAAUACAGGAUGGUGUUCAAAUUCCGCAUGUUAUUUGAACUAAAGAUUUAUCGGUAACGGAUGGGGAUGCGUGACACUAGAUAGUAGGCGGGGUAACGGCCCACCUAGUCUACGAUGUCUAGGGGUUCUGAGAGGAAGGUCCCCCACACUGGAACUGAGACACGGUCCAGACUCCUACGGGAGGCAGCAGUGAGGAAUAUUGGUCAAUGGUCGGAAGACUGAACCAGCCAAGUAGCGUGAAGGAUGAAGGUUCUAUGGAUUGUGAACUUCUUUUAUACGGGAAUAAAACCACCUACGUGUAGGUGCUUGUAUGUACCGUAUGAAUAAGCAUCGGCUAACUCCGUGCCAGCAGCCGCGGUAAUACGGAGGAUGCGAGCGUUAUCCGGAUUUAUUGGGUUUAAAGGGAGCGUAGACGGGGGAUUAAGUCAGUUGUGAAAGGCUGCGGCUCAACCGCAGCACUGCAGUUGAUACUGGUUCCCUUGAGUUCGGUUGAGGUAUGUGGAAUUCGUGGUGUAGCGGUGAAAUGCUUAGAUAUCACGAAGAACUCCGAUUG